Molecule: ribosomal RNA, 601 nt
Filed under: Trichoderma asperellum
Lineage: Eukaryota; Fungi; Ascomycota; Sordariomycetes; Hypocreales; Hypocreaceae
Description: eukaryotic LSU rRNA
Rfam family: 5.8S ribosomal RNA (bases 198-351)
Source: RNAcentral
GACGUGAUCAUUACCGAGUUUACGGCUCCCAACCCAAUGCUGAAGCGUUACCAAACUGUUGCCUCGGCGGGGUCACGCCCCGGGUGCGUCGCAGCCCCGGAACCAGGCGCCCGCCGGAGGAACCAACCAAACUCUUUCUGUAGUCCCCUCGCGGACGUAUUUCUUACAGCUCUGAGCAAAAAUUCAAAAUGAAUCAAAACUUUCAACAACGGAUCUCUUGGUUCUGGCAUCGAUGAAGAACGCAGCGAAAUGCGAUAAGUAAUGUGAAUUGCAGAAUUCAGUGAAUCAUCGAAUCUUUGAACGCACAUUGCGCCCGCCAGUAUUCUGGCGGGCAUGCCUGUCCGAGCGUCAUUUCAACCCUCGAACCCCUCCGGGGGAUCGGCGUUGGGGAUCGGGACCCCUCACACGGGUGCCGGCCCCGAAAUACAGUGGCGGUCUCGCCGCAGCCUCUCCUGCGCAGUAGUUUGCACAACUCGCACCGGGAGCGCGGCGCGUCCACGUCCGUAAAACACCCAACUUUCUGAAAUGUUGACCUCGGGAUCAGGUAGAAUACCCGCUGAACUUAAGCAUAUCAAGAAAGCGAGAGAAAUAAGCGGAGGAG